GCUUAGUCAUGAUGCAACAAGUCAAUGUCAAAAUAGGAAACGGUCUCUGGGAACAUCUAGUUCAGCCCCUUUGCGUUAGUCGGCGAAGAAUAUGGUGCGUGGAUGAUUAAGGGGCACAUUUAAAGUCACAGGACAAUCACGAUGAGAGAAAAAACAGAACUGGAACUUGAAAGUCUGGGGACAUACUGCUCUCUUCUUGGUAUUCUUCUCUCUGAAAUUCCAACCUUGGCAGAUGACCAAAGUGAACAGGGGGUGCCAAGGAAGGGAAAGGGAGAAGAAAAAGUACAUGGCACUCCUGAUCGAAGAUAAAGUUUGACUGUAAACUCCAAUCAUCUUUAAAGAGAGACUUCGGUGAUCAGACGGUAGCAGGAACUUUAUUUGAAGUUGUUAUGUUAGAAGAUCAAAGAAGAAAGGUGAACUAUGCAAGAGUAAGAUCAAAAAGAAGAAAUUUCAUUUUGAUUUUUAGAUAUCAAGGAAUAAUACAUACACUAAAGCCUAUUAGUGAUUGUCAAAGAGUAUAAAGGCAACAUCAAGUAUGCAGGUCGGAAUUGUUUUCAUUCUUUUAACUAAUAGCAAAUGUUAAUUUUACUUUGUCUUUCCUUGUAUGAGUUCCUGUCUACAUCUUUGCUAUGCAAACAUUCAUGUAAUUGUAUCAGACAUAUGAAAAUGGUCACAUUGCCAUAGAUUUCUAGAGGUAGGAUUUUCAUUUCUAUGUGGAAGAGGACAUAUUCUGCAUGGUAAAGGAAGCUUGUUUUAAUGUUUCAAAAAUAAUCCAAUGAACCUGCUUUGUUAUGUAGAAUGAAACACUUAUCCAAAAUAUGAUCUGGAAGUAGGGUACAAAACUUCAAAAAUGUCGAUGAGAAAUGUUAUGUGCCUAUGGGCUUCUCAGGUGAGUAAGUUAGAGCUUCUGGGGAGGGAACAAGACACUUCUGGAGAGAGCUGUGAACCAGCAACUCUAUGCAGGUACAACGGAGGAGGGACAACCCUGUGAUGUGGGAAGGGCACCUCAUCUCAUUUGUCCUACACUAAUGCCUCACAUCAAGUUUGAACAUAGUUUCUGCUUUGUUAAUUAGUUUUAUUGCCCACAAGCGUUAGUGAAACAAAACUCGCUCUCCAUCCAAAGGUUUAAGAUAAUGGUAAAAAGCUGUCUUCUCUAGUGUUGUAAUUUAUCAUCUCCAAACUUUCA
RNAcentral lists this long non-coding RNA (1186 nucleotides) under Rattus norvegicus (Norway rat). Its description in RNAcentral is "long non-coding RNA NONRATT031337". Lineage: Eukaryota; Metazoa; Chordata; Mammalia; Rodentia; Muridae. The record is from RNAcentral.